GACGAACGCUGGCGGCGUGCCUAACACAUGCAAGUCGAACGGACAGGCCCUGCUUUUGUGGGGUGCUCGAGUGGCGAACGGGUGAGUAACACGUGAGUAAACUGCCCUUGAAUUUGGGAUAACUUCAGGAAACUGGGGCUAAUACCGGAUAGGAGAUCCUGCUGCAUGGUGGGGGUUGGAAAGUUUCGGCGGUUGGGGGUGGACUCGCGGCAUAUCGGCUUGUUGGUGGGGUAGUGGCUUCCCAAGGCUUUGACGGGUAGCCGCCCUGGAAGGGUGACCGGCACCAUGGGACCACGGGAGGGACCCGUACGCCAACGGAGGCAGCAGUGGGGAAUAUUGCACAAUGGGCGGAAGCCUGAUGCAGCAACGCCGCGUGCGGGAUGACGGCCUUCGGGUUGUAAACCGCUGUCGCCUGUGACGAAGCGUGAGUGACGGUAAUGAGUAAAGAAGCACCGGCUAACUACGUG
This 467-nucleotide ribosomal RNA is filed under the name uncultured bacterium. RNAcentral describes it as "partial 16S ribosomal RNA". It matches the Rfam family "Bacterial small subunit ribosomal RNA", at positions 28 to 507 of the family's 1533-position model. The record is from RNAcentral.